Molecule: long non-coding RNA, 210 nt
Filed under: Phoenix dactylifera (date palm)
Lineage: Eukaryota; Viridiplantae; Streptophyta; Magnoliopsida; Arecales; Arecaceae
Description: long non-coding RNA (PDAC_LNC006078)
Source: RNAcentral
UCUCAUGUGCAUAGUACUCUCUACUUCACUCACUGAGUAUUUAUAUACUCACUCCCCAGUUUGGUAUUUUUGAUUGCAGGGCAGGUAUUGUAUAGAGAGGAGCAGGGUUAGAGAUUGCCUGCUAGCUGUGCCGCUCCAUAGUAUAGUAUAAUGUAGAUAGAGGUUUAACCCUUUUGGUGUAUAUAGUGUAUAGUUACAGUCAUAGAUCCU